UACGUAGGGGGCUAGCGUUAUCCGGAAUCAUUGGGCGUAAAGAGCGUGUAGGCGGCUCGGUAAGUCCGCUGUGAAAGUCCAGGGCUCAACCCUGGAAUGCCAGUGGAAACUGUCGAGCUAGAGUCCGGAAGAGGCGAGUGGAAUUUCCGGUGGAGCGGUGAAAUGCAUUGAGAUCGGAAAGAACACCAACGGCGAAAGCACUCUGCUGGGCCGACACUGACACUGAGAGACGAAAGCUAGGGGAGCAAAUGGG
This 253-nucleotide ribosomal RNA is filed under the name uncultured bacterium. RNAcentral describes it as "partial 16S ribosomal RNA". It matches the Rfam family "Bacterial small subunit ribosomal RNA", at positions 524 to 776 of the family's 1533-position model. The record is from RNAcentral.